This 1359-nucleotide ribosomal RNA is filed under the name uncultured bacterium. Its description in RNAcentral is "bacterial SSU rRNA". It matches the Rfam family "Bacterial small subunit ribosomal RNA", at positions 28 to 1381 of the family's 1533-position model. The record is from RNAcentral.
GAUGAACGCUAGCUACAGGCUUAACACAUGCAAGUCGAGGGGCAGCAUUUCAGUUUGCUUGCAAACUGGAGAUGGCGACCGGCGCACGGGUGAGUAACACGUAUCCAACCUGCCGAUAACUCGGGGAUAGCCUUUCGAAAGAAAGAUUAAUACCCGAUGGUAUAAUCAGACCGCAUGGUCUUGUUAUUAAAGAAUUUCGGUUAUCGAUGGGGAUGCGUUCCAUUAGGCAGUUGGUGAGGUAACGGCUCACCAAACCUUCGAUGGAUAGGGGUUCUGAGAGGAAGGUCCCCCACAUUGGAACUGAGACACGGUCCAAACUCCUACGGGAGGCAGCAGUGAGGAAUAUUGGUCAAUGGGCGCAGGCCUGAACCAGCCAAGUAGCGUGAAGGAUGACUGCCCUAUGGGUUGUAAACUUCUUUUAUAUGGGAAUAAAGUUUUCCACGUGUGGAAUUUUGUAUGUACCAUAUGAAUAAGGAUCGGCUAACUCCGUGCCAGCAGCCGCGGUAAUACGGAGGAUCCGAGCGUUAUCCGGAUUUAUUGGGUUUAAAGGGAGCGUAGGUGGACAGUUAAGUCAGUUGUGAAAGUUUGCGGCUCAACCGUAAAAUUGCAGUUGAUACUGGCUGUCUUGAGUACAGUAGAGGUGGGCGGAAUUCGUGGUGUAGCGGUGAAAUGCUUAGAUAUCACGAAGAACUCCGAUUGCGAAGGCAGCUCACUGGACUGCAACUGACACUGAUGCUCGAAAGUGUGGGUAUCAAACAGGAUUAGAUACCCUGGUAGUCCACACAGUAAACGAUGAAUACUCGCUGUUUGCGAUAUACAGUAAGCGGCCAAGCGAAAGCAUUAAGUAUUCCACCUGGGGAGUACGCCGGCAACGGUGAAACUCAAAGGAAUUGACGGGGGCCCGCACAAGCGGAGGAACAUGUGGUUUAAUUCGAUGAUACGCGAGGAACCUUACCCGGGCUUAAAUUGCAUUUGAAUAUAUUGGAAACAGUAUAGCCGUAAGGCAAAUGUGAAGGUGCUGCAUGGUUGUCGUCAGCUCGUGCCGUGAGGUGUCGGCUUAAGUGCCAUAACGAGCGCAACCCUUAUCUUUAGUUACUAACAGGUCAUGCUGAGGACUCUAGAGAGACUGCCGUCGUAAGAUGUGAGGAAGGUGGGGAUGACGUCAAAUCAGCACGGCCCUUACGUCCGGGGCUACACACGUGUUACAAUGGGGGGUACAGAAGGCAGCUACCUGGUGACAGGAUGCUAAUCCCAAAAGCCUCUCUCAGUUCGGAUCGAAGUCUGCAACCCGACUUCGUGAAGCUGGAUUCGCUAGUAAUCGCGCAUCAGCCAUGGCGCGGUGAAUACGUUCCCGGGCCU